RNAcentral lists this long non-coding RNA (1937 nucleotides) under Marmota monax (woodchuck). Lineage: Eukaryota; Metazoa; Chordata; Mammalia; Rodentia; Sciuridae. The record is from RNAcentral.
CUGAUUGGUUUCAAUUUUUUUUUUUUUUUACAGUGCCAGGCACUAAACCCAGGGCCUUUGAAGUGCUAGGCAAGUACUCUACUAUUGAGUUACACUUAGCCUGCUGCCUGUUUUUUUUUUUUGUCCCUUAAAAUUUUCAGGAAAGUGAUUUUUUGAGAGGAAUGGCCAUACUGCAGUUGGGUUAGUUUAGUGUUGGCUAUGUUGUUAAUAGUACUAUCAGCCCUUUAUAAAUGAGUCUAAUCUGGCUCAUUUGUGUCUGUAUCAAGUUUGGCCUGGAUAUGGGGCACACAUGUUUUGUAAUCCCAGCUGUUGGAGGAGGUUCUACAGCAGCAGAAUCACAAGGUCAGGACCAGACUGGGAAAUAGCCUUUUUUGAGACGGUUAAGUGUAGUUCAGUGGCAGAUAGCACUUGCCUAGCAUGUAUGAGCUCCUGGAUUCAAACCCUAGUGCUGGGGCUUGAGGAUUUUCUCUUGAUAUUGGUGUGAAUUGUCUCCUGAACACACUUAACUAAAAUGUGAAAGGGAUUUAGGAGUUAACCAACAUCUGUUUUGCUUUCUUCUGUCUUGAAAGACUACCAUGAGCCUGUCUUCCCUUGCUAAGGGUAAGAGGGGGAAAGGUAGUUAAGGAGCUGGGAUGUACAGUUUUCACAGUGUGGGUUUAUAUUGUAUGUGGGAGACAGUUUUGGUUUAGUAUAAUGGAUUGUAGUUGGAAACCUGAAGCUUGAAUUAGGAUUUAAAAGUGGGAAUCUGAUAUGAAGAAAAUGGCUUAUUGUGCCAUGCAUGAUGCCAUCAGAAGCAAGGUAUAGGAUGGACACCAGAAAGAUGAAGAUUUUGGAAGUAGCAAUUAUUCCCAGCUCCUAUCUUCAGGAAUUCUGGUUAAAUUGAAUCCUGGCCAACAGCUCAAGCUCAGGAGAUGAUAAAUCAUAACGGGGUGAUUUAGUAACAGGAGAAAACCUUUGCACUAUGGAGUUCGCCCCUUAAUGAGCACCUUUUUGAAAAGGUGCAGUGGAUGGUAGGAAUUUUACUACAAAAAAAAAAUUGGUCAUUGAGGUUGAUUUUUAAAUAUGUAUGGAGUUGUAUUUCAUUUUCGGGAGAGUAAGGUUUGAAUUGAAUAAGUUUGCAGAAAGUCAUUGCUGUUGUGUGCACACCCUUUAUUUGUGCCUGGUUUUGAACCCAGGGGCAUUUUACUUCUGAACCACAUCCCAGUCCUUUUUUAAAGCUGCUUAGGGCUUUAAAAAGAUUUUUUUUUUUUAAAUGUAGUUUGAAAGAAUAAUUCUAUCCAUCAAAAGAUUUAUGGAGUGCCUUUGGAAUUGCUUUGGUUCUUCAGAAACUGAAUCCAGGGAACUUCAAAUGAUUUAAGAAGAGGAAGAGAACUGGCUCAUAGAAUGAACUCUAGGCCAGAGAAAGUGGAAAAGACCUCAUACUUGUUAGAUCCAUCUGGGAGUGAAUAUUGGGAUCUGGAUAUUGUUAACUCCACUAAUGUGAACUGAACAAUAAGGCUAGACAGACAGACAGACAGACACACACACACACACACAUCCAUUCAUCUAUCUUUUUAAUAUAGUUUCUGCACAAGAUAGUUCCAUGCUGUGAAAAAAAUUUUUUUCAAGUCCAGUUAAUUGAACUUAGCUAAAGAAUCAUUAGAAACUGUGAAGACAUGAAGAAGAAAUUGAAUGACCUCAUUCCACAAUCCAGAUGAGGGAAACUUCAAUAAUGGCUUUGGCUGUAUGAAGAGGAACUGGGAUAAGUGAAGAUUAUUCACUUUGGGCUAAAUAAUAACUGUAUGGCAGCUACUCCUACCUACCAUAUUUCCUAAACAUACCUCCUGCUUGGCUUGGAAACCAGGACCAUGGGGACCAGACUGUAGGAGGAGGAUGGUGGAGGAAUCCUGGGGAUGGGGGAGAUGAGCAUCUGGACUUGUAUUGACAAUAUAAGAAGG